RNAcentral lists this ribosomal RNA (606 nucleotides) under uncultured bacterium. RNAcentral's name for it is "bacterial SSU rRNA". It matches the Rfam family "Bacterial small subunit ribosomal RNA", at positions 398 to 996 of the family's 1533-position model. The record is from RNAcentral.
CGCGUGUAUGAAGAAGGCCUUAGGGUUGUAAAGUACUUUCAGUCGUGAAGAAGGUGUUAGGGUUAAUAACCUUAGCAAUUGACGUUAGCGACAUAAGAAGCACCGGCUAACUCCGUGCCAGCAGCCGCGGUAAUACGGAGGGUGCGAGCGUUAAUCGGAAUUACUGGGCGUAAAGGGCACGCAGGCGGUUAGUUAAGUUGGAUGUGAAAUCCCUGGGCUUAACCUAGGAAUGGCAUUCAAAACUGGUUAGCUAGAGUCUUGUAGAGGAGGGUAGAAUUCCAUGUGUAGCGGUGAAAUGCGUAGAGAUGUGGAGGAAUACCGGUGGCGAAGGCGGCUCUCUGGACAAAGACUGACGCUCAUGUGCGAAAGCGUGGGGAGCAAACAGGAUUAGAUACCUUGGUAGUCCACGCUGUAAACGAUGUCGAUUUGGAGGUUGUGGUCAUGAAUUGUAGCCUUCGGAGCUAACGCGUUAAAUUGACCGCCUGGGGAGUACGGCCGCAAGGUUAAAACUCAAAUGAAUUGACGGGGGCCCGCACAAGCGGUGGAGCAUGUGGUUUAAUUCGAUGCAACGCGAAGAACCUUACCUACUCUUGACCUCCAGCGUAU